GGGCCGGUCGUUCAGCUUGGUUAGGACACUGCGUUCACACCGCAGAGGUCGCCGGUUCAAGUCCGGCCCGGCCCACCA
RNAcentral lists this transfer RNA (78 nucleotides) under Candidatus Bathyarchaeota archaeon. RNAcentral's name for it is "tRNA-Val". It matches the Rfam family "tRNA". Rfam says of the family: Transfer RNA (tRNA) molecules are approximately 80 nucleotides in length. The record is from RNAcentral. Lineage: Archaea; Thermoproteati; Candidatus Bathyarchaeota.